This 1908-nucleotide ribosomal RNA is filed under the name Metschnikowia arizonensis. Lineage: Eukaryota; Fungi; Ascomycota; Pichiomycetes; Serinales; Metschnikowiaceae. The record is from RNAcentral.
AUAUUUGAGAACAUGAUGUUGGUUCAGAUCAAAUGCUAUGUAGAGACAUAACACAUGCAAGUUAUAAAAAUAAUUUAUAGCGUUAAGGUGAGUGAAAUAAGAUAAAAAAAAAUCUUAUACAGAUGUAGGUAUUAGAAAAAUUCUAGCCAUAGAACUGGAACCGACGAUUAGGGUCACAACGGUCACAUUGAUUAAUUUCAACUCUUAUAUAGAGCAGCAGUGGGGAAUUUUUGACAAUGGUCUAACGACUGAUCAAGUUAUCUACAAGAAGGAAAUUAAUAAAAAAAAUAAUAAUAAUAGAUAAACUAUAAACUUCUAAAUAAUAGUAAUAAUGAUACUAAUUAUAAAAAAGUCCUAACUAAAAUAUGUGCCAGCAGCUGCGGUGUGCGACAAGAAAGUUAUUAUUUAUAAUUCAAUAAAGCCCCCAAUGUAGUAAAAAUGUGGGGGAAUAAAUUGACAUAUUAGUAACAAAUAUGUACCUAUCUACACAUGCGUUAUAAGUAAUUAUUAGGUAUGAAGCUGUAGAGACAAUGUAACCUAAACUAAAAUCACAAGUUUAGGGGCUAGGUAAAUUUACUAUGGUUAAUGAAAAUCAACUACUUGUAGAGGUCUUUAUAAGGUGAUAACCCAUAUUUUAGAUAUGGAUAAAAAUAAGUCAAGAGUUUAGAUAAAUUCAUCGUAUAUUUUAUCUUGUUAUAAACGUUAAAAUUGACAGAGAUAAAGAGUAGAACCUAAGGUAAAAAUAGUAUAAAUAAUAAAACUUGGUAAGCCUUAUAUUUACUAUGGUAAAACAUAGAGGUUAUUAAUAAUAUAAAAAAAAUAAAAAUAAUAAUAUCAAAUAGAAGGUAAAAGACUUCUUAAAAAGCAAAAGCGAUAAUGUAAUGUUAUUGAUAGAUCGAAAGAUUAACUUGAAAGAGUGCAGACUUAAGAUAAGGGUGUUAUAAAGAUAAUGCGUGAGCCGUAUACGAUGAAAGUUGUAUGUACGGUUCUAAAGGGGGGAAAGUUUGUGAGGACCUACCUAUCCUAAUUAGACAUAGAGGGCAAGCAUUGAUCAGAAAGGCUUAAAGGAUCUGUAGAACGACUAAAAAAGAUAGAAUAAUGAGAAUCUUUAAAUAAAAAAGAUGAAGGUAAUAAGAAUUAAAGUUAGAGAGAUAAAAUAUGAGGAAAACUUUAAGACUAUAAAGAGGUUACUAAGAAUUAUUGACGUUGUGAGAUGAAGGCUAUGGUAGCGACAUGGAUUUGAUACCCAUUUAGUCAUAGCAGUUAACGAUGAAUACAAUGAAAGAUAAAUGAAAAUGAGAAGUAUUCCGCCUGACUAGUACGCUCGCAAGGGUGAAAUACAAGACAUUAGACGGUUGUAGUCCCAAGCAGUGGAACAUGUCAUUUAAUUGGAUGAUCCUCCAAAAACCUUACCAUCUCUUGAAUUAAUUCUCAACAGGCGUUACAUCGUUGUCGUCAGUUCAUGCCGUGAGGUUUAAUAUUAAGUUAUUGAAUGAACGUAACCCUUUUAUUUAUAUAAGUAUAAUUGUAAAAUUAUAGGAAGUAGAGGUAGAAGACUAAUCAUGAUGACCCUUAUGAGAUGGGCUAUAGACGUGUUACAAUAUUAAUAACAAUUAAAUUUAAUUUAAUAAAUUAAUAAAUACCCCCCACCUAGUGGGGGGUUAUUAAAUAUUAAGAAUAUGAUUUUUUUCUUUUAUGGAUUGUAAUCUGAAAUUCGGUUACAUAAAGGAGGAAUUGCUAGUAAUCGUAAACUAGAGUGUUACGGUGAAAUUCUUUGCUACUUCGUACUAACCACUCAUCAACAGCAAGAAAUUUUUAUUUUACUUAUUGAGUUUUUAAAAAAAAAGGACUUGCUGUAAGUUGAAAUACGGUUCGGUUAGGGGAACCUGAUCGGGAUUUAUAUAUUUA